GAACCAAACCCCUUCCCGGUCGCCGCCGCUCGUCGCCGCCGCCACUUGUCCAGGAGGGUACCCAGGCGACCCGCGUCGCCACUCGCCCAGGAAGUGUUGCUGCUCGUCCAGGAGGGUUGCCGCCCGCCCAUCCGGCCUCCCGCUUCCCGCCUCCGCACGUUUUUGGCCUGGGGUGUCAGCAAACCGUUGAUCGCACCGAUGGAGUCCGACGGCGAGCAGGAGGCGGCGGCCACGCCGACGCUGGGAGCCUCCGCGGGGGCGCCGUCGGCAGGACGGCUGAAGGGCUGCCCGGAGCUCUCGCUGGAGGGCGACAUGCGAGAGAUGGCCAAGACGGCCGUCUGGAGCGUCAGCUCCAGCAAGCCCGGCAAUGGCGUUGCCUCCCUACGCGAUGACAGCCUCGACACCUACUGGCAGUCGGACGGUGCGCAACCGCACCUGGUCAACAUCCAGUUCCAGAAGAAGGUGCAGCUGCAGCUUGUUGUGCUGUACGUGGAUUUUAAGCUGGACGAGAGCUACACGCCGAGCAAGAUCUCCAUCCGGGCCGGCGACGGCUUGCACAAUCUCAAGGAAAUUAAAACGGUGGAACUUUCAAAGCCAGUAGGAUGGGUUCAUAUAUCAUUAUCUGGCACUGAUCCCCGAGAAACAUUCAUUCAUGCAUUUAUGCUCCAAAUCGCGGUGUUGGCCAAUCACCUGAAUGGGAGGGACACUCAUGUCCGACAGAUUAAGAUAUACGGGCCAAGACUGUAAGUUGGAUACUGUACAAGCAGCCAACCAACCAUCUGUUUGCAUUCCGUAACACGAGAAUGAACCCCGUUCCUCACCAGCAUUUCCACUUCAUUUCCAGGGAAUGCAUAAUGUACUCUAGCGUCAGGUGAGAUUCCCCGAACCCUCGCCGCCUCACUGGGGAGGGAUCAUCCUCGGUCAAGGUGACCUUGAUUGUGGCCUGCACGCUUCAGUACGAACGCCGACAUGAAUUAAGUAGCCGCUGAAGUAUUCUGCCUAUGUUAGUGUGGAUCGAGUUGCCGCUGAAGCAUCAUGCACAUCUACCAUGUAGUUGAUCUUGUAUCCCAUUCCAUCUACCAUCUAUUAUUGGUACAUCCUUUUCAUCCAUGUAAUAUACACCCUCCAUUCCCUUAUACAAAGCCACUUUGUCUUUCGUGUCAAA
RNA transcript from Triticum aestivum (bread wheat), 1165 nucleotides. It is a transcript of the gene named anaphase-promoting complex subunit 10, with no coding region annotated. The record is from RefSeq and is a predicted model, not a curated record. The transcript has 6 exons. Lineage: Eukaryota; Viridiplantae; Streptophyta; Magnoliopsida; Poales; Poaceae.